Molecule: non-coding RNA, 90 nt
Organism: Potamilus streckersoni
Lineage: Eukaryota; Metazoa; Mollusca; Bivalvia; Unionida; Unionidae
Source: the annotation of a GenBank genome assembly
GGAUGGCUCCGGUGGCCUAAGUGCUAAGAGCGUCCGCCUUGGAUGCGGAAGGUCGUAGGUUGCAACCUAGGCCGAGUCAUACUUAAGACU